RNAcentral lists this long non-coding RNA (23418 nucleotides) under Nicotiana tabacum (common tobacco). RNAcentral describes it as "long non-coding RNA (NTAB_LNC012650)". The record is from RNAcentral. Lineage: Eukaryota; Viridiplantae; Streptophyta; Magnoliopsida; Solanales; Solanaceae.
UUUUUUUUUUUUUGGGGUAUAAAUAUUGGUCAACCAAUAGUUUACUGUAUUCCAGACAUUUUCAACAUUGGCUUUUAUUUACUAACCAAACUAAUUAAAAAUAGACCAUUUUACUCAAGAAAAGACUUAUGUCCCUUUCUCUGUCUUCUGUCUAUUUAUAGUACUAGGGGUUCUUGACUUCUUUCUUAACAAAAAAUCAAAAGCAUUAUUAUAUGACCAUUUUCUCAUUAUUUUUACGAUCAAAAUUUUAGCUUAAAUAAUAAAUAAGAUUUGUUACAGUCUAGUAGCAUGCUGGACAGUCAGCUCCAUUCACUGGACAUGUUAUCAAAUACAUCAGAAAGUGAAAUGCCAAGACUGAGUAGUGAAGAUUUUGGAAGCAAAUCUGGUAAUGAAGGCAAUUCUGCUGGUGAUGAACAAGAUGUCAAUAAUAAGAGCCUCAAUAAGCGAAAGCGUUAUCACCGCCAUACUCAGCAUCAGAUCCAAGAAUUGGAAGCGUAAGCCUGAAUCCAUGAAAAUUAACAACAAAAAUAAAAUAAAAAACUUAACUUAUAUCCACUGAUAGUAUAAUAAAAUAUAACUAAAAGCAAAAUCGUGACUUUAUGGAAUUUCUGGUUUGACAAAAUCCACGGAUAAUGUUUUAAUAUUUAUGCGAUUUUAUUUGGGUUUUUUUUAUGGUGUUCAGAUAUUUUAAGGAAUGCCCUCACCCAGAUGACAAGCAAAGGAAAGAGCUAAGCCGAGAAUUAGGGUUAGAGCCUUUGCAAAUCAAAUUUUGGUUCCAAAAUAAGCGUACUCAGAUGAAGGUAUAAUAUAUUGCACUUAAUUCAUUGACUCCACAAAAUAUUUGUUUUAUUUUAAUAACUCCACAAGGAAAAGCAAAUAAAGAAAGCAUGAGAGACAUGUUAAACAAAUGAUAUUUAUUUUGCAAAAAAAACCAAAUCAAAUGUAAACAGUUCAUCUUACUCAGCUCUUAUAUAAAAGGAAGUCGGCAUUUUCCUUGUUAUACUAUGAAUUUUGACAUGUAGUUUCAAAUGCUCAAUAUAUUCUAUUCUAUUUUAUGUGAUACUUUUUCUUAUAGUCUAUUUUUAAAAACGCACAUGUUUAUAAUUGAAAUAUUUUAACUUAUUUUAAGAGGCCAAAUUUUAAAUAUUUUAGCGUUGAACUUCACAUUUUACUCUUAGUACAUGAUUUUAUAGCUACAAAAAUUAUCACAAGAUGGUUAAAAUCACAAACUAAGUUUUUAAAGUUCUCUUUUCUUUUUAACACUUUGUACCUGAUUGAACACCAUUACAUCAAGUGAAAUGGGAGUAUUAAUUAUAGAAAAUGUGUCAAACAUGUCUAAGGGAGUCAUUUUCUUGCCUUUGCUAUUUAACUUAAGAAUGUAUCCAAAGUCAUGUCUUUACACUAAUUUUAAUUCUUCUUUGAAAUCUUAAUGUGAUGUAGUUAGCAAACAUAUUCACACAUAGCAUUAGUUAGCAAAUUGGAGUCCUUAAUUUUUAACUUUUAUUUCAUGUGGAUGCAAAUUCUUCCUUGACAGACUAAAAAUGAGCGCGGUGAAAACUCACACCUUCGAGCAGAAAAUGAAAAGCUUAGGGCAGAAAAUCUGCGAUUCAGAGAAGCUCUGGGCAAUGUCUCCUGCCCUAAUUGUGGUGGCCAACAACCCCCUAUUGGCGAAAUGUCAUAUGAUGAACAUCAAUUAAGAUUGGAAAACACUCGACUUAGAGAAGAGGUAACAACUAAACAUAUUUUUUUAAAAGUUUUUACGUUUUGGAUAAAACGCUCCCUACCAAAUACGACUGCAUAUAUAGGGCUCGAGCUCGAGACCUCUGUUAAAAAGUAACCAUAUUGAUUUAAUGUAUAGUCCUAGCUAUUUGCCAAAGAUUUACCUUAUAUGCAUGCACUUGUAUUAUAAAUAAUUUUUUACCAAAUUGGUGCAAUUUAACCUUCUUUAGAAGAAGUUUAUUUUCCUUAAAGUUCAGGUAAUUAUUUCUAUUAGUUAUGUAUACUCAUCUAUGCUUGCCUUUAAGAUGACAUGAUAUUUCAAAUAAAUUUUAAUAUGUCAAUGUGUAAAAUUAAACCCUUUUUCCACAAGUUUUAAUUCUAUUCUAUACACCGACAUUGUAAAUAUAUUUGUAUGCUAUUGGGUCAUCUAAAAAAUAAUCGUAGGUAAUUGUUGUGAAAUUAGUAACUUAAAAAAUAAUGCCUUUAAUCUGCUACAUUAAAGUACAUUGAUAGUCAUGUGAAAAUUCUUUUAUAUUAUCGAUGCAAUCCUUUUGUCACUUGGUGGUCUCUAAUGUAAUUUUACUUUAUUUCCCCUACCAUCCCCACCCUCUUUCUAUAGAUUGAGCGCAUUUCAACUAUUGCAUCAAAAUAUGUGGGGAAGCCAUUUUCAAACCAUAACAAUGGUUACUCUCCUCCGCUUGACCUCGGCGUUCCUGCAUUUUCAACGCCACAAAGUGUCAAUGGAGACGCGUAUGGAGAUGGCGAAGAUGUUAUAAUAAGUUCAAUAAUCGGACCGAGUGACGCUGAGAAGCCAUUUAUCAUAGAACUUGCAGUUGCAGCCAUGGAAGAGUUUAUUCAAAUGGCACAUAUGCAAGAACCACUUUGGUUUCCUAGCAUUGAAAAUGGAACAAGCUUGUUAAAUGAAGAAGAGUAUUUUAGGAUUUUUCCAAGAGGAAUUGGACCUAAGCCUGAUGGAUUUAAGACUGAAGCUUCAAGGGAAACUGCUGUUGUUAUAAUGAAUCAUGUUAACCUUGUGGAAAUUCUCAUGGAUGUGGUACGUUUUUAUUUGGUUUUUGUUUCACGUUUGGAUUUAAGUUAUAUGCACUAACAUUUAAAAUAAUUUUUUAUAUUAUCAAUAUAAUUUAACUGGUUGUAGCACGUUGUCACUUUUUUUCCAGGUUAUCAUAUCAGGAUUGAUAUGAAAAGUUACCUAUGUUGUAGAUCAAUUUUACUUGAUGGCAUAAAAACUUAAAUAUUGUCGGUGCAUAGAACUUAAACUCUUAAUAACAUUUUACCCAAGGAGCUAGAAUUGAGUGUCCAUGAUAUUGAAUUUGCAAAUAAAUAUUAGUGUAAAAGAAUAUGUUAAUUAGCUUUACCCAUAAACUAUAAUUCCUAGUCCUAGGACCUCUUGUAGUGUGCUUAGCUUGUUGCUGUUUUAGAUAACAUACUUUUUUAACUUUAUUCACCAAAAGGUCAACUAAUAAGAUUAUAAUUGGCAAUUUGGAUUCAAAAUAAAUUAGUUAUAACAAGGUCACAAAUAUAAAGAUAUAUUGCUGCUCUAAGUAGUUGUCUUACGAUCACUAAUUAGAAAUAAUGUUUUCGAUAUAGUCUUGUUUUCCAAUAUCCAGGCCCCACUUGUGGGAUUUCACUGGGUUUGUUGUUGUUGUUCUUAUUUUCCAAUAUGUCGAUAUGGGAAUAACGUAUUAAUAAGUCUUAGUUUGUCUUGUGAUUUCCAGAAUCACUGGUCAAGUAUGUUUUCUGGUGUUGUGUCGAGGGCUUCAACUAUUGAUGUACUAUCAACUGGAGUAGCAGGUAAUUUUACUGGAGCAUUGCAAGUGGUAAUAAAUAGCAUUCUCCUUAAUUAAUCAAUUAGUCCAAUUACUAUACCUAUGUGUGUCCCUGAUUGUUGAAAAAAUUCUUUUACUAUAAAAGUUAAACUCUUGUGAAUUUUGCAGAUAUUAGCAGAAUUUCAAGUACCCUCUCCCCAGGUUCCAACUCGAGAAUGCUACUUUGCUAGGUAUUGCAAGCACAGAGUUGACGGUACAUGGGCUGUUGUCGACGUUUCAUUGGACCAUUUACGCGCUAUCCCAUCUGCUAGGUGCCGGAGAAGGCCCUCAGGGUGCCUUAUUCAAGAGAUGCCAAAUGGGUACUCAAAGGUAAAAAUACUUAUCAAGAAUCAUCCAACUACAUUGCGAUACAAAUAGAUUAAACUUAUAUACAGUGACAAUAUAAUUUAACAUAUUGUAACAAGUUACUUGUCUUAUUUUCAAGAUUACUAAGUACAUGUUCUUACUUUUUAAGUGACAUGAUCGUGUAAAAUCUUUUAUCAAUGUAUAGAACUUAAACUUUUCCGUAAUAUGCUAACAAUUCCUAUUAAUUAAUGUGAUUUUUGCACUAGGUCACAUGGGUUGAACAUAUUGAAGUUGACGAUAGUGCAGUCCACAAUAUUUACAAGCCUUUAGUGAGUUCUGGCCUUGCCUUUGGGGCAAAGCGAUGGACUGCAACUCUAGAUAGGCAAUGUGAACGUCUUGCAAGUGCUAUGGCCACAAAUUUUCCAACCAAUGACCUUAGUAACAUGGGUAAAUACAUUAAUAUAACUGUUAGAUGUCACAAGUUAGUAAUAUAUAUUCUCCUCAAUUAGUAUUUCUUAUGCAGUGUUGACAAAUCAAGAUAGCAGAAAGAGUAUGUUGAAGUUAGCAGAGAGAAUGGUGAAUAGCUUUUGUUCUGGAAUGAGUGCCACGGCUGGUAAUCAAUGGUCGACGCUUUCUGGAAGUGGCUCCGAUGAUAAUGUUCGAGUUAUGACUAGGAAAAGUGUAGAUGAUCCUGGGAGACCACCUGGUAUUGUGUUAAGUGCUGCAACUUCAUUUUGGCUGCCGAUUUCUCCUAAAAGAGUAUUCGACUUCCUCCGCGAUGAAAACACUAGGAGCGAGGUAUCACAUCGUCGAAGACUCUUAAAAUCUAGUUUUAUACAAGAGUUUUAACUUAUAUCCACUGACAAUAUAAAAGAUUCAUUGCACUAACUCUAGUUUUAUGCAGUAGUUUAACUUAUAUCCACGACAGUAUAAAAGAUUCAUUACACUGACUCUAGUUUUAUGCAGGAGUUUAACUUAUAUCCAUUGACAGUAUAAAAUUUUCAUAACACUGACACUGUUACUCUCCUCUGGUUAUAGUGGGACAUCCUCUCCAAUGGGGGUGUUGUUCAAGAAAUGGCUCAUAUUGCUAAUGGAAGGGAAACAGGCAAUUGUGUCUCAUUAUUGAGAGUAAAUGUAAGUCAACUAUAAUCUUCACUUUUACUUUCUUACCUCAAUAUUCAUAAAGUUCCAUGGAAUUGUGUAAUCAUCCCAUCUAAAAGUCUAAAUUGCUAGAUGAUACACUUUUAUUUAAUUAAUUAUACAGGACACAUCACAUGUGAAUCUGAUUUUUUUUGUGAGCCAUGCAUGCGAAAACUCUUUUUUGGUAGUGUACUGGAUCUCUGCUUACUCUAUUACCAUGUUGAACUGAUUACCUUCUCUAAAAGUAUAAGUUUUUAGAAAAAUCACAAUUUUGAUUAAUUAAUCAUAUUCUUAACAAGUUUAACUAAAUUAGAGGGAUGAAUUAAGAUACUAAUGACUGUGCUUUGCUUGAGCCGAGGUUCUAUCAGAAACAGUCUUUGUACCUUCGCAAGGUAUGAGUAAGACAACAUACACACUACCCUCCUAAGAUCACACUUGUGGGAUUACACUAGGUUUGUUGUUGUCGUUGUUGAAUUAAGAUACUAAUCCAAUCUUUCAUUUGUAAAUUACAGAGUUCAAACUCAAGCCAAAGCAAUAUGCUAAUAUUGCAAGAAAGCAGCACUGAUCCAACAAACUCCUAUGUUAUCUAUGCACCUGUUGAUAUUGGUGCAAUGAACAUAGUAUUGGGUGGUGGAGAUCCAGAUUUUGUUGCACUUUUACCCUCCGGAUUCGCGAUACUACCAGAUGGCCCUCCAGGAAAUAGUAGAGUUGGUUCUGGUGGAUCUCUACUAACUGUUGCAUUUCAGAUUUUGGUUGAUUCAAUUCCUACUGCAAAGCUUUCACUAGGAUCAGUUGCUACUGUGAACAAUCUCAUUGCUUGCACUGUGGAUAGGAUCAAAGCUGCUCUUUUAUCCGAGAGUACACCUUCUUAAGAUGUAAGUAUUUCUUUGGCUUUUAAAUAUGAGCAUAAAUAUAUAUUUUCUAUGGAACAUAAAUAUAUAUUUGAAUUGAAUGAGGUAUUUAAAAGGAAGAUUUGAAAUGGGAAGAACCUAUUUUAUGGAGGGUCUAUGAGUUUUAAUGAUAAGGGACCGUGUACACUGAUGCUUUGGUCUAGGAGUAAGAGUGCAGCACAUGAUAUACGGCUGAGGUGCAUGUCACGGAUUCGAGCCCUACCACAUUAAGAGGCGAGCCCGUUAUCCUUCUAAUUAGAACCAUGUGCUACUAGCUCUCGGAGAUUUCUCAAUUAUAAAAAGAGGAAGUUGUUCUUGACACUCUUUAUUUCUUAUGCACAGAGAGUAGAAAAGAAUUUCGUCAACUAAAAGAUAUUGCGGUUAAUUGUCCACACUGUUUGAAAUUAGUAAAUUGGGAAAUUAUUCAUGCAACAAGGUACCACAAAUUAAAAUUAUGCCGAUAACUUAAAAAUUUCCUUACGUUAUUAGUGUACAAAAAUUAAAUUAUUAUUUUAAUUUUUUCACUUUUUUGGUUGCAGCUGUGUAUGGACAAGGUGAAAUAGAGAGGACGGCAUGAAAUAAGUUAAGCGGAAGUCAAGAGCGCACCUUCAUCCUUUGGUUGUAUUGUUUGUACAAAUCAACCAAGGCGUCUAAUUUAAAGCUUUUUCUACAAAGUUUAGAUAGGUUAAGUAGAGGUUCGUGAACUGACUUCCAGUGGAAAUUCCAAAGAGAAUUAGAAAAUAUAAAGACUAUAUAGAUUCUAGAAUAUAGAAUAUAUCAGUUGGUCUUUUUUUUUUAUUUCCUUUUUCAAUACAGGUCUUGAUCCUGUGCAAUUAGGGUUCACCUCCUGUGUGUCUAGUGCUUCUAGUCUUUGAACUUGAGAGCAUUUGGCAGACUUUUUUGUCUGCUUUUGCUUGACUAUAUCAAAAUAUAUUAGAAUUGUGGUUUCUCUUGCUUAUUUUUUUGGAACAAGUAGUCGAAUUCACUUCACUGUUUACUUUUUUUUUGCUGGCACAUAGAUUAUACACUAAUUAUCCAUAAUUAUACAAAUAUUGUAUAAUCGUUGUCUAUUUUUUAUUUAAGCGAUUGAGUAGUCAGUUAUUUAGGUUAUUUCUCCUUCUUUUUUCAUUUGCUUGAGAUGAACAUUUCUCAAGUUCUUUUUUUUGAUACCUCAUAGUUAUCAUGGGUACAUGAAUAAUACUCGGCCAAAUACAUAGAGAACCCCUUAAAGUUAAUGUCUUUUCAUUUAGGACAAUUUAGUUGAAGCUAUUACCUAUUAAACUACUACAAUGUUUGUCCAAAUGAUUUUCGCUUGAAGUUAAGCUCAUAAAAUAACGUAUAUAUGUUUUUUUUUGAAAUCUUUCAUGCAUCUUUUUCUCAAAAGUUAAGAGUAAUUUUAAAUCAUAAUCAUAAGUUGAUGAGUAAAUUUGAACCUUUUUUUCCAUAAAAAAUUUAGACAUAUGGAAUCUGCCCAUUUCAUAGAGUUUUAUUUAUAUCAAGAGCAAAAGUAUGAAUGAAUUAAAAAUAUAAUGAGAUCAAAUCGAGCAAUCUCUAAUAUUAUAAAGAUAAAUUGACAUUUCCUACAUAAAUACUAGUACUACUAAUAUUUAUAUUGAAACCGGCGCGAAAAUUCCUCCUAAAUCAUUUCUCAAACUAUUCCAAAAGGGAAAGAAACUGAAAUAAAGUAACUUGAGACAGUAGAGAAGGAAGAUAGUGAGAGAGUCCAUGGGGAAUGCCUGAAGGCGACAACAGACAACCAAAGCCCCUCAGAUGCAACGAAUGGGCGACAACAGACACCCAUUCACCAUUUGAGUUAUUGGGUUCAAAUUUUAAUAUUUUACACGUUUAGUAUUUCUUGCUGCAUAUAUAGGGAUUGAACCAAAGUUAUUGAGUUCGACUGAACUUAUAAGUUAUAUUGUGCAUCUGCCCAGUACAUAUAGUUGGGCUCUAGAAUGUGUCCGGAGAUGUUUGUUUAGGUACUUGUGUGCCAGUAAGUAAUGUAGAGAAUGUUAGUGUUAGAUAACCCUUAGUUUGUCAUAAACUAUUGAGUAUUGGAAUUAAACAGGAGAGAGAUGGAUAUAGAGGAUUUAUAUAGCUUAUGCAUUACCAUGAUGUUGUUAUUGUUGUUGAUGUUGAGGUGUUGUUGUGGUAUCCUCAAUUUAAUGAGGAAUAUUGUAGACUUCAAAAUUUUUGUUCAACUUGAUUUUAGGUUCCAAAACACUUGCGUUAACUUGGGUAUGUGGUAAGGCUAGAGUGUAAAGAGAGAAAGUUGUUAGAUCAAGUUUGUAGUGUCGUGGAGUCAUUGACUCAUUUCUUACCAAUGAAGAUCGACCCAUUAUUUCUUUUACACUUGAAAUGCAAAGAUCUUAAUUAGGUUAAGUGUGCCAUUAGAUGAUUAAGCAUAUUAUCUGUUUGGACAGUCAGUGGUUCUUUCAAUUUACUCUGUAUGUGACGUGUGACUGGGGAGGUAGUUAAACAACAUGUUUUGUUUGAAAGGGGAAAAAAGCCUAGCACUUUGCAUUCUGUUAAAGAAGCUUCUUGUGUCAAAGAUAAAAAUGUUUGAAGAUGUAAGAUCAAUAAUAUAGACUAGUUUUUCCUUUAUUAAUUGUUUCCUUUUCACAAAAAAAAAAAAAAAAAAAAAAAGAACCUGUCCGACUGACCGGAUGUUUGUUAGCUAACCAAAAUACAUUAUUCACUGAGUUUUCGAAGUUGAAGAAAACUGAUUUCUCAGUUAUUUAAGAAAAAGGUUUACUAGCUAACUGAAAGGCUCAAAACUCAUUAUCAAAGUCAUUUUAUGAUCUUUCUAGACCAAGUUGGUAAAGUUAUUUUGUACUAAAAGUUGUUUAUGCCUUUUAAAUUUUGAGAUAUUGUACUAAAAGGGUGAUUAUUCUCUAAAACAUGGUCUCUAAAGCAGAGAUUUGAAUUCACUAUCUGUAUGGGUAAAAAAUUAUCUCUAAUAUGAUUAAGUCAUGUUAGCAUUAAUGAGACAUUCACAGGUCGUCGUGUGUUGCCAAUGCGACUCGUAAAGACUUGCCCAAAGUCGAAGUGGUUCUAGAAAUAAUGAAGGUUGCGGUCGAAGACUCAACAAGGAUUAAGGUCGAGGAGUCGUCAAAGAUCAAGAUCGAGGUCGAACAUCCUUGACAGAGUUAUAACGACUACUUUUAAGAUAGGAAACUAAAGAGAAUAUUCUAGUAGAUAUUCUCUGCACCUAUACUAUUAGGGUUAGGAAUAUGUUCCCUAUAAAUAGAAAGAGACACAAUGAUAGGGGACAUGAUAUAUUCAUUUGUAAAAAAAUACAUUGACGUUAUAGAGAGAAUCUGGUCCUAUUACAAGCAUACAAAAACAACCUUUUUACUAAGAUUCUUGUCUAGCAUUUCCUUUGGAUCCAAAACAACCUAAGUGUUCAAAGGCUUAUCAAUCAUUCAUCAUUAUCAGAGAGAAUAUCCACUGAUCUCAUCCCUUUUCGGGUGACUCACACAUUUUAUUUACUUAAAUAACACUUAUUGCUAUUUAUUACUAUUUAAUGUCAUAUUUCAUCUUUUUGGAUCAUUGAAUACUGUUAUUAUUGCUUAUAUUCAUUGCUAUCCAGACAAAUGUCCAAGUUAUUUGUCAUAACACCGAUAGCUUUGUCAUUAGCAUAUUAUUAUUAACUAAGAUUAGGUCUUCUUUAUUUAAAUCUAAUUGGUUGGACCAAAAUCUAUAUUUUUGGUCAAAUAGUUUGGCACCGUCUGUGGGGACUUCUUAGUUAAUUCUUUUGGUUUCCUUUAGAUAUAUAGCUAACGUGAGUCACUAACCUCACAAACCCCAAGAUCUUUCUCUUUCUUUGCACGUACGAAAACCUACAUGGCAGGUAACCAAGGAGAGAGGACUAAAAUAACAAGUUAUUUCCCUAGCAACCUUAUGAACGCUAUCAACGAGAGCUGUGAAAUAUUAGGCGAGGACGUGACGCCCACUGCGUCCCAAAGGAGCGAGAGGUCGCCUCCUCCCAUUGUAGCAUAAUAAAACCAAAUGGAAAAGGGGCCUCCACGUCCAUAGAAGAAGGGAUGCCACGGGCCGUAAAAAGCUCCUCGAAGUAUGGUUGACCGAUACGCUAGUGAGCAUUCUCAACAAGCCCACUCCAUGCAGGACCACAGAGACUGCAAGAACCUACAUAGUGCAACGAGCAGACGAACAUGGCGACCAACCGGACCCUCUAACACCAGGUAUAACUCACAAUGUUACUAACAAUACAGGUGACAUCGCCAUCGCCGAUGUUCUAAGGAGGAUGUAAGAAAUGGAGAAUGAAAAUAAUGCACUCAGAGAUCGAAUAAAAGAACACUAAGAACGAGUCGAUAAGAUACCGGGUGCCCCUAAGCUAUUGCCAAAGAAAGACGCCGGUAGGUUCGUAGAGUAGCCGUACAACGAAGAAGCAGCCCUUCAUGCCAUACCAAAGACCUUCAAAAUGCAGUCAUAUCUCAGGAUAUACGAUGGAACGAAUGAUCUCGAAGAUCAUGUGACUCAUUAUGUCACCGCCGUGAAAGGAAACAACCUUACCAAGUAACAAGUGUCUUCUAUUUUGCUGAAGAAAAUUGGAGAAACUCUUACGGGAGGGGUAUUAAUAUGGUACUCACAGCUACCAGCCCACUCCAUAGAAACCUUCAAGGAAAUGGCCGAUAAGUUCGUAAUGGCGCAUGCCGGAGCCAGGAAAGUCGAAACAAGAGUAAACGAAUAUUCGCCAUCAAGCAGUCCUUGGGAGAGGGACUGAGGGACUUUCUCGCCCGAUUCAACAGGGUAAGGAUGACCCUAUCAAACGUGUCCCGAGGGGAUGGCGGUCGCGACUUUUCAGAACGGGUUGAGUAGAGAUGGUUUGAGAGUGACUAGAAAACUGCUGAGCCGAUUGAUAAAAUAUCCUCCAACCACUUGGGACGAGAUCCAUAAUGCUUACUAUGCCGAAGUCCGAGCAGAUGAGGACGACCUCAACGGACCAACUCAUCAGCUCAUCUCUGUACAAACCGAGUCCAGGCAAGAACGAAGAGACAACAUUAGGAGGGAUCACCCUGUCUCACGACCCAACAUGGAAUGACACCAACCAUACGACAGGGCCUCCGCCCCACCUUCUCUUUGCUAUGAGGAGGGCCAUCUAGGCCAAGAACGGGGACUCACCGGAACGAGAGAGGUAUGCCCCUUUAUUAUCUGCUCAUAAUUUUUGUGUAUCACUUACAGAAAUAGUCUAUACCCUGGAGAAACUCGGAACGAAGGUGAAGUGGCCGCCAAAGAUGAGGUCCUAUCCGAGCACCAGAAAAUCCGACACUCUCUGUGAGUUCCACCAAAAGCGCGGGCACAAAAUAGAAGAUUGCAUCUCCCUCAGGCAAGAAGUUGUAAACAUGUUGCGGCAGGGACACCUCAAAAAGUUGUUGAGCGACAAGGGGAGAAAUAACUUCGCCAGAGGACGUGAACACCAAGGCCUGCCAAAGCUGCCAUCACCAGCUCGUACUAUAAAUAUGAUCAUUGGCGGCAACGACGAUGCCUCCAUCAACGGUGUUAAAUUCACCACCACUCACAAACUCAAACGAUCUAUCACCAGUUAACUGUAUGACGGACUCAAAAAAAGUAUCAUCUUUGAUGAGUCAAAUGCCGACAGUUUGACUUUCCCUUAUAAUGAUGCUCUCGUCAUUACUUUGUACAUUUUAGAUAUUGAUGUCAAACGUAUCAUGGUAGACGAUGGAAGUCGAGCGUACAUUAUCCAUCCCCGAAUCCUCGCCCAAAUGAGACUCGAGGACAAGAUAGUGCCAUGCUGCAUCACACUAACCGGUUUUAAUAAUGCAGUUGAACGGACAUCGGGGGAAAUUACACUCCCUGUCUUGGCUGGCGGCGUAACACUAGAGACAAUAUUUCACAUCAUGGACCAGGCCACCGCGUACAAUGCCAUAGUAGACGACCAUGGAUACAUCCUAUGAGAGCCAUCCCUUCCAACCCAUAGCAAGUAAUCAAAUUCCCAACACCUUGGGGGAUAUUCAGCAUACAGGGAGAGCAGCACGCAUCCCGGGAGUGCUACCGCAUCGCCUUAGAUGACACCAGAAACCAACAGAAAAAAGAUAAGGAAAAUAAGGCAUAGCAAUCAACAGGGUCGAGGUCGACACAAGAAGAGACCAGGGACGUCAUCAUGGAUCUCGAAAUGGUCGAAGUCGCGGACUCGACUGUAGAGGACCUCUACCCCGUUCAAUUAGACCCUAUCGACUACAGCAAAAAGGCCUACAUCGGCUAUAAACUCUGAGAACCCGGUAAAUUUAGCCAAUUCUUAAUAACAAUUGCAGAUUUGUUUGCCUUCAGCCAUGCAGAUAUGUCAGGCAUCCCCAAGGAGGUUGCCACACACAAAUUAAACGUCGACCCGUUCUACCCCUCGGUAAAGCAGGUCAGACGUAAAUUCAAUCCCACCAUUAAUGAUGUCGUCCAUGAGAAGGUGGAGAAACUAUUAGAAAAUAGCUCUAUCAGGAAGUCAAAGUACCCCAAAUGGAUCGCCAACGUAGUGAUGGUCAAAAAGAAAAAUAGAAAAUGGCGGAUGUGCGUAGAUUUCAUGGACUUGAACAAAGCAUGCCCGAAGGAUUCGUUCCCGUUACCACAUAUCGACCAACUCAUCGGCGCAACGGCCGGGCACGAGUUGUUGAGUUUUUUGGACGCGUACUCAGGCUAUAGCUAGAUACUUAUGGAAGAAGAGGACCAAGAGAAAACCACGUUCAUCACCCACCGAGGAACAUAUUAUUAUAGGGUCAUCCCAUUUAGGCUGAAGGACGCAGGGGCUACAUAUCAAAGAUUGGUCACGAAAAUGUUUAAAGAUUAGCUCGGCAAGACCAUGAAAGUAUAUAUAGACGACAUGCUGGUCAAAUCCUUAAAGGCUGAGGACUAUAUCAACCAUUUGAAGGAAGUUUUCGAUAUACUAAGACGGUAUGUAAUGAAACCAAACCCAGAGAAAUACGCAUUUGGCGUAGCCUCUAGGAAGUUCUUGGGCUUCUUAGUGUCACAACGGGGGAUCGAGGUUAACCCCGACCAAGUUGACUGGGUGAAUCACCGCCUUAUCGAGAUUCAGCUCACGGUCAUCUAACAGAUGUCACCUAUUUUUCGGCGUACUAAAAAAGGACAACGACCUCGAGUGGACACCUGAGUGUAUACAAGCUCUACGAUAACUAAAGGCGUAUCUUUCAUCACCGCCUCUGCUCUCACAGCCCGAACCCGAGGAACAUCUCCUCGUCUACCUAGCCAUCUCCGAAGUAGCAGUAAGUGCAGUCCUGAUUCGAGAAACAAAAGGUAAGCAGUCUCACAUUUAUUAUAUCAGCAAAACACUCGUCGACACCGAGACGAGGUACCCGCACCUCGAGAAACUGGCCCUGGCACUAAUCGUAGCUUCACGAAAGCUUAGACCCUAUUUCCAAUGUCACCCUAUCUCGGUUGUUACCAUCUUUACCCUAAGAGAAAUUUUACAUAAACCCGAGCUGUCGGGAAGUUUGGCCAAGUGGGCCAACGAACUAAGCGAGCACGGUAUCAUGUAUCAACCACGGACGACGAUAAAGUCGCAAGUGCUCGCCGACUUCGUCACAAAAUGCAGUGCAAAAAUAAUUCCUGAAGUCGAGAAGGAAGUCUUCCAAGCUUCUCUCCAAACACAAGAACCCUGGGUCCUAUACACCCACGGCGUAUCCAACGCCUCCAGAUCCAGACUGGGACUCGUACUAGAGAUCUCUACCGGUAAAGUAAUUUUCUAGUCCAUAAAAUGCCCAGAUAUGACUAACAACGAGGCCGAGUAUGAGGCCAUAAUUACAGGAUUGAGGCUAGCACUCAAGUACGGGGCAAAGCGGUUGAAACUCCGAUGUGAUUCCCAAAUCAUAGUCAACCAAGUCAUAGGGACUUUCCAAAUUAAAGAACAAAGGUUGCAAAAAUAUUAGACGAAGAUCUGUAAGCUGCUGCCCGAGUUUGACGAAUGCCAGCUCGACCAUAUCAUGCUUGCGCAGAAUGCUGAAGCAGACGACCUCACCAAAUUGGUUGCGGCUACCAAAAGUAUCACGACCGGGGAUAAAAGUGUAGUCCACCUCCUCUAUUCAUCGCUAGACCAAGUCGAGGUAAGAUCUGUAAGCUUAACCUGGGAUUGGCAUAAUCGUAUUAUCGCCUAUUUCCAUCAUGGCGCACUCUUAAACGACAAAAAAGAAGCCAAGAAACUAAGAAUGCAAGCAGCCAGAUACAAUCUCCUCCAUAGUGACCUGUACAGGAGGACAUAUGGUAGCCCUCUGGUGAAAUGUUUGGGCCCAAACCAAACCCAGCGUGUCCUCGAAAAAGUCUAUGAAGGCCAUUGCGGUGCUCACUCCGGCAAUCGAGCACUCGUCAGGUGCCUCAUACGGGCAGGAUACUAUUGGCCCACCAUGAAAAAGAAAUGCGAACAAUGUCAGAAAUACGCCCCGGUAAUUCACCAAUUAGGAGAACACCUCCAAUCAGUCACCUCUCCAUGGCCGUUCAUCAAGUAGGGAAUGGACAUCGUGGUCCCCCUCCCAACAGGGCGAGGUAAUGUACGAUUCCUUUUGGUUUUAACUGACUAUUUCUCUAAAUAGUUGGAAGCAGGAGCGUUCGUCCAAAUAUGCGAACAAUAGGUAAUCACCUUUAUAUGGAGAAAUAUCAUCUGCCGAUUUGGCCUACCCAAGGAGAUCAGUUGCGACAACAGACCCCAGUUCACAGGAAAGAAAACCAUCGAAUUCUUCGAGAAAUGUCAUAUUAAGAGGAUACUUUCAACCCCGUAUCACCCGGCGGGUAACUGACAGGCAGAAUACUCUAACAAGUCCAUAUUAAACAUCAUGAAGAAAAGCUCGAAGACGCCAAGGGACUGUGGCCGAAGAUACUCCCAGAAGUAUUAUGGGCAUAUAGAACUACCCCGAAGACGAGCACAUGAGAGAAACCCUACUCUUUGGUCUAUUUAAGGAUGGUCUCCCAAAAGCAACAAAUAGAACAUUAUUACAACAAGAAAGCAAAGGUUCGACCGCUUAAAUUCGGGGACUACGUACUCAAAGCCAAAACUCAAGCGAGCAAAGAACCACAUGAAGGCAAGUUGGGAACAAACUGGGACGGCCCGUACAAAAUUACAGCCAAAGCAAACAAGGGUUCAUUCUAAUUAGAGACAAUGGAAGGAAAGCAAUUACCGAACAAUUAGAACAUCAGCCACCUCAAAUAUUUCAACUUCUAAAAGGAAGAAGUGUCCCCAAGUCGUACAAUUCUUUCAUCACUUGAGUUUUGUCCCAUUAGGGUUUUCUCAAGGAGGUUUUUAACGAGGCGACAAGGGGAAACUUCGAUUCGAAGUAUGCGAUGGAGGGACUAUUUUUCUAUUUCAUUGCCCGACUCCUCAAUACUCUCCAAGUCAAGCAAUGAAGGGACUAGAUAAACUGGGACUGGAACGUCAGCCAAUGCCCAAAAUUUGUAACUUUCUCUAAUCAUAUAAUCAGAGCAACAACGUCAAAAUAAUAAGAAACUUACGUUUAUCAUAAACACCUAUCAUCCCUCGGCCGUAACUAACAAAAGGUUAAGUUCGACCCCACUCGAACAACACAUAUCGGCCCUCGGUCGCGAUUAACAAAAGGUUACGUUCGACCCCACUCAAACAACACCUAUCAGCCCUCGGUCGUAACUAACAAAAGGUUAAGUUCGACCAUGCUCGAACAACACUUAUCGGCCCUCGGCCGCGAUUAACAAAAGGUUAUGUUCGACCCCACUCGAACAACACCUAUCGGUCCUCGGUCGUGAUUAACAAAAGGUUAAGUUUGACCCAACUCAAACAACAUCAAUUGGCCCUCGGUCGCAAUUUAAAGAGGUUAUAAUUCGACCAAGGUCGAAUGACACCUAUCGGCCUGCGACCACACCCUAACAAAAGGUUAAGUUCAACCCAACUCAAACAACACUAAUCGGCCCUCAGCCGCAAUUUAAAGAGGUUAUAAUUCGACCAAGUUCGAAUGACACCUAUAGGCUCUCAGCCAUGAUUUAAGGAGGUUAAAAUUCGUCCAAGUUCGAAUAACACCUAUUGUCCCCCGGCCACGUUUCAAUAGAAGGUUAAACGCAACUAAAUAAGAAGCUAAGUUCGAUCAAGUUCAAACCUAACCGAUCGGUCCGUAGACAUGCUCCACCUAUACGGGCAAAGGGGUAAUUUGGCCCACAGCUAUUCGACCCAAGGACUCUGAUAUUUACAAGAACGAUGACAAACAAAGUACAGAAACAAACCAGGGCAAAUAAGAAAGAUACAAAUAAAAGCAAAACCCAACUUUGAUAUUUAUAAACAAAGGUUUCUUACAAAGGCUCUUGAAGACGCCAACAAAAAUACACAAAAAUGAUAGAGAAAAAAGAACUACUGCUGGCCAUCGCAAUCACGACCCACGACAUCCUCACCGGAUCAAUCUUUAAUUCCCUCUCCCUCCUCGCCUGAAGGGUAUAUAGAAUCAUACCGGGCCUCAUCCUCAAGGUGAUCUACAACAUCCUCACCGUCCUCAUCUUCUUCACCAGGACGAGGCGUAGUUGGGUCGUAGCCACAAGCAACCCGAGACUCGCGAGCCUUGACUCGAGCAUCUUCAAAGUCCGCGGCAGGAACAAAACCCGCUACAUGCAACUCACGAAGCACAUCCAAUCGGGCCUCGGUGUGAAUCCACUCUUCAUACAACUCACAAGGAACAUUGGGAAAGCCAGAAGUCAUAGAUGAAGAAGGUUGUACAAGUAGUUUGGCCUUCUCGGCCUCUAGAGCGGCAACUUGAUCAUAAAGAUCGAAGGUCUCUUUCUCCAACUCCCUAAUCCUUUUCAUAAAGCCGUUCUUAUAUAAGACUCGCCGUCGACAAGUCAUUUUCUUGAUCAGAAUGGAGGGUUCGAUUUGCCACUUCAAGGAACUCCACCCUCCUAAGAGCCUCCGACUGAGCAGACUCUGCCUUAUUAAGCUCCUUGGUUUCUCGGCGACCUCGCCACUAAGGGCAUCCUCCUUAAACUGGCACUCUUCGAGUUAGCCUCGCAGCAGGACCACUUGGGCUUGGAGAUCACUGCAUUGGGCCUCUACGCCCCUACUAAGCUCAAGCUCCUCCUCUUUUCUCUUCAAUAUCCCUUCAAAGAUGUUGCAUUUCUCUACGACCCGCAUCAUCUCCUCGUCCCUCUUCUUCAAGUCCUCCCUCAGGAUCCGUACGUCAUCGCCUUCGCGAAGCCGACACUAGAGCUCCUGGUACUUCUCAAGGCACCUUGUAUACUUGUCCUUUAGCUUCACGUAAAUGUCUUUACGCCUCUUCUCCCGAUGAGCACUCUCAAUCUCUAGAAUAACCGUCUACAAAACAAAAAAAGGAAUUAGAGCUUACGAAAGAAAUUGAAGCAUAAGGAAAAGAACAUAUGACAGUCAUAUUUACCCGGCGAGCAAGAGCAGCAAUGUUAUUCGACAGAGUACUGUCAUUUAUCAUCUCGAGGGUCGUACCCUCAAUCUUAGAACAAAGAGGACCGAGGUCAAAGACUAUUUCCUCGGUGUAUACAAGAAGAUUACAAUCCAUUGGGAUCACAAUAGUCCUGGAGCCUCCUUCCAACCUUACUUCAAGUUGAGUGAGUCUUUCAUCGAUCAUUCUCAACUCGUCCAGGUCCAUAUAAAAUUCAGAUCCAACGUCCUCCUCAGUAAUAGCCUUCUCUCUAUCAUUAGCCACAGAGGGUACAUCCACUGGGAACCUAGAAGAUGAAGCCUCAUCUUGCCUCGGAAGUGCGAGGCCGUCAUUAUGCAUCCCGCCAUCCACCGUCUCCACCACAGGACACAUUGAUGCACUCGUGUUCAUCUCCUCCAAGUGCGGGACCUCAGAACCUGCCUCGGGGCUCACUCCAACAUACACUAUGGCCAUCUCUCGAAGAACAAAGUCAUAUUCUUCCAAGUCGACGUCUACUGGCUUUUCUCCUCCCGCAUCCACGGCUCUCCUCUUAUGAGGUAUUAGGAUACCUUUAUCAGUAGAGUUAUCAUCGUCAUCAUCAAUCAGUGAAAGGCGUUGAGGAGAAGAAGCAGAGGAUGAAAAGAAGGCAUGGUCUUGGAUUGAGGCAGCCGAAGAUGAGGUCGGCACAGAAGCGACAAUAAUCACAAUAAGGACAGAAAUCGAAGGGGCAUCAGCCUUCCUCCGAAAGGAUGGCACUGAUACCCGUCUUCUUCUAGAAGACCCUCUGCCUGAGAAAGAAAUAAACGUUGAAGUCAGCAAAACGAGUCAGCAUAUAAUGAAAAAUGGAACGACCACAGGCCAAUAAGGAAAGUUAUAUGUCGAAGGGAGAGCCGGUCUGAACUUAUUGAUAAAGCUCGGCCAGUCGACAUAGUAGAGGAUUUGCUCGACCUAGUCAGAAAUGUGUGUGACUAGAAGGGGAUGCUGAGUGUUGGCUACAAAGAAAGAAAAUGUCCUUCAAUAAUCUCCAAGUAAGUAAAAGAACGCGAACAAAAAAAAGAGAACAUUGAGCCAGAAUUGACGACUGGUUUUAUCGUCCGUCUUCACCACCAAACACUUGCCUCCACGAUGGAAAAGAUUCAGCAUCGCCCCCUAUAAAAGCUAGGGGUGAAGAGAUGAACCAAAUGCUACAACGUCAGCUCGACCCCGGCCAGCUCGACAAAUUUUGUCAACAUCCUAAUAAUUUUGUAGACAUACGACGCAAGAUGAGCAGGGCAGACACCGUAGUGAUAACAGAAUUCCUCCACCAACGGAAGGAGGGGGAACGAAUAACCGAUGAUGAAAGGAUAAGCGUAUAAAGUGCAGUAUCCGGGUAACUGAACCUACACCACGUUCCCACUAGCCGGGAUCAGUUCGACAUGGUUUGGAAGGCCGAAUUUGGCCUUGAGUUCCGCCGAUUCCUUAGGCGUCAUCGUUGAUUUAAAACCUCCAGGCGCAGUGUCAGGUAAUUUGGUGAGCUCAAACCUAGAGUCAAGAUUGUGGGAGAUUUUUUCCUCCACUGACAGGAAUGCUUCAUCAUCAACAAUGGUGGAAGCACCCUCCUCAUGAUGGGGAAACACAACUGCCAAAGGAGGAAUACGACUCCCUUCACCAUCAUUUGAUGGUAAGUUAGACAUAGGGCAAAAUAGUAAAGAAGAAUAACGAGAGGGAAAGAAUGGAGAUGGAAUAAGGCAGCAGAGUGAAGAGGGAAGUUUAGAGAAGAAAAUGGCAAGAAGGAUAAAGCUUUGGAAAGUUAGGAGAAGCAAACUUCAAAUUCAAGUCCAAAAACCUCAAUUUAUAGAGAUCAUGGCACUGAACCCAAAAAUGGCUCGUCAUCAUUGGCACCAGAAUUGAAACGGCAUAUCCAAUCAAGGGUCACAUAUGAAUCGAGGUGACACAUCAAAAAUAUACGUCAUAAUUGCCAUGACGUCAUUAUGCUCCUUGGACAGGGUAACUCCAACAAAUCGCCCGAGAAACAAGAAGUAUUUGAAUUUUACGGCCCACAAAGGGCCAUGUGUUCUGCUCGGAACGGCGAUUAUGACUCUUAUAACUAACUCGAUAAGCUCAACUAGAAAUGACAAUUAUCCGCUCAUUAAGUUCACCUGCGAGGAUGACCUCAAUAAGCGGACGAACUAACUGUAUGGGUCAAAAAUUAUCUCUAAUAUGAUUAAGUCAUGUUAGCAUUAGUGAGGCAUUCACAGGCUGCUAUGUGUCACCAAUGAGACUCUAGUAGAGACCUGCCCAAGGUCAAAGUGGUUCUAGAAAUAAUGAAGGUUGCGGUCGAAUAGUCAGCAAGGAUUAAGGUUGAGGAGUCGUCAAAGAUCAAGAUCGAGGUCGAACAUCCUUGACAGAGUUAUAACGGCUAUUUUUAAGAUAGGACACUAAAGAGAAUAUUCUAGUGUAUAUUCUCUGCACCUAUACUAUUAGGAUUUCUAGGAACAUGUUCCCUAUAAAUAGAAAGAGAGACAAUAAUAGGGGACAUGAGAUAUUCAUUUGUAAAAAAUACAUUGACUUCAUAGAGAGAAUCUUAUCCUAUUGCAAGCAUACAAAAAUAACUUUUUUAUUAAGAUUCUUGUCUAGCAUUUCCUCUGGAUCCAAAACAACCUAAGUGUUCAAAGGCUUAUCAAUCAUUCAUCGUUAUCAGAGAGAAUAUCUACUAAUCUCAUCCCUUUUCGGGUGACUCACACAUUUUAUUUACUUAAAUAACACUUAUUGAUAUUUAUUACUAUUUAAUGCCAUAUACUAUCUUUUGGAUUAUUGAAUACUGUUAUUAUUGCUUAUAUUCAUUGCCAUCCGGACAAAUGUCCAAGUUAUUUGUCACAACACUGAUAGCUUUGUCUUUAGGAUAUUAUUAUUAACUAAGAUUAGCUCUUCUUUAUUUAAAUCUAAUUGGUUGGACCAAGAUCUAUAUUUUUGGUCAAACACUAUCCUGGUCAUCCUUUCUAUUCCUUUGUUACAUUAUGUUGUCUCAUUCUUCAGAGUCCAAUUCAUAAGUCUUUUUGAUACAUGGGUUUGUCCCUGGAGCCGAUGCAUCAUUAUCUCACAUGUGCAUCAUAUGCAUGUUAUGCUUGUUCAUCUUCUAUUUUCAAAAGGCUGAGUAUGUUAAUUUGCUAGUACUCUGCAGGCCUGUUUUGAAGGCAAUCCAUUUAAAAGAAUUCCAGGGCCUUUCAAGCUAUUCAGGCAGUGGCGAAGCUACAGCCUAUCAAGGGUGGUCAACUGAUCAUCCUUCGUCGAAAAAUUAUAUUGAUCCAUGCAUGAGCUGUGAGCUAAUUACAGUGUUUUAUCGUUUCACAAAAAAUGAAGCUAAACAGUAAGCUUGCCGCCUCGCCCCUCCACCCACCCUUUCUCCAAAAGAGAAAAAGAAAAAGAAAAGAUGCAUUUGAAUGAAGUGCCUAAUUUAGCUCUAGGUCAAUAAGUUAUAUUCAAUCCAUUGAAAUAUCUUUAUUCUUUUCAAUUGACAUAUUUUAUGUUUCUAUAUUAUCUAAUUUUAUGGAUGACAUGUUUCAUAUGCUUAAUCAAUGCGCAGGGAAGAACCUACUGAGCCAUUCUAUUACUUGCAGUUGGUUCCCCCCAAGAGAGAACUUCAACUUUAAAGAGCAUUGCUCUCUUGUUAGUUAUGUUCAACAUUUCAAAUACUGGGUUAGUUUUUCUAUUCAAGAUACUGAGUAUGAUCGCAGAUUCUUGAUGAUAAUAUGUUUUCUUAAAGAUAUAAAGCUCUUCAAAAUUUCAAGAAACUUUUCCAUAUGGAAGUUUGUUUCCUUUUUGUCAAUGUUCUUUCGUUGCUUUCCUGGGAGGACUUGCCUUGUUGAGAAAGAGUUUUGAUACGGUGCAGUCUUUCAUCCCUCUUUGAAAAACCUCAGUCCUAGUUAAAUUCACCUCUUAAUUUUUGAGCAGUUUUGAUAGUUUUCGGAGCCAGAUCCAGGAUUUGAACUUUUUGUGUUUAGAUUAAAAAUUUUACCAUAUUUUAUUUAAUUUAAUGGGUUCAAAAUCUAUUAUUUAUACAUAUUUAAUGAGUUUUCUGACAGAUAUACAAAGUCUGAGUCGAAACUAUAGAUUCAGGUGAACCCAUAAUUUCUAUUCUGGAUAUGCCCCUAAUAGUUGCUACUUCAAUGAUUGAUCUUGUAGUUGCUGAUUAACUAACUUUAUUUUUUUCUAACAAUUCGGGUUUAUGCCGAAGCGCUUGACUACGAAAGCCAUUCACCUUGUUAGGAGAUUGAUUGAGCAGUAUAGGGAGAGGAAGAGGGACUUGCAUAUGGUUUUCAUCAACUUAGAAAAGGUCUAUGAUAAAGCCUCGAGGGAGGUCCUGUGGAGAUGUAUGGAGGCUAGAGGUAUACUUUUUGCUUGCAUUAGGGCGAGUAAGAACAUGUAUGAAGGAGCUAAGACCAGGGUGAGAAUAGUAGGAGGGGGCUCAGAUCAUUUUCCGGUCAUGAUGGGGUUGCACCAAGGGUCAGCUCUUAGCCCUUUUUUAUUUGCCCUGGCGAUGGACGUAUUGACGCGUCACAUCCAAGGAGAGGUGCCAUGGUGCAUAUUAUUUGCAGAUGAUAUUGUAUUGAUUGAUGAGACGCGAGGCGACGUUAAUGCGAGGUUAGAUAUGUGGAGGCAGACCCUGGAGUCUAAAGGUUUCAAGUUGAGUAGGACUAAGUCGGAAUACCUAGAGUGUAAGUUCAGUGGGAUGACUCAGGAAGUGGAAGGGGUUGAGGCUAGAUUCACAUGUAAUCCCUAUGAGAGGAAGUUUUAAGUAUCUUGGGUCAAUUAUAUAGGGGAAUGUGGAGAUCGACGAAGAUGUCACACAUCGUAUUGGGGCGGGAUAGAUAAAAUGGAGACAUACUUUCGGUGCUUUGUGUGAUAAGAAUGUCCCAGCAAAAUCCAACGGUAAGUUCUACAGAGGGUAGUCAGGCCGACUAUGUUGUAUGAAGCUGAAUGUUGGCCAGUCAAGAGCUCUCAUGUCCAGAAGAUGAAAGUAACAGAGAUGAGGAUGUUGAGAUAGAUAUGCGGGCACACAAGGUUAGAUACGAUUAGGAAUGAAGUUAUUCGAGACAAGGUGGAUGUGACCCCAAUUGAGGACAAGAUGUGGAAAGCGAGAGUUAGAUGAUUUGGAUGUGUGAGGAGGCAGAGCACAGACGCUCCGGUCAGGAGAUGUGAGAGGUUGACAUUGGAAGGCCUAAGGAGCGGUAGAGGUAGGCCGAAGAAGAAUUGAGGUGAGGUGAUUAGACAUGACAUGGCGCAGCUUUAGCUGACCGAGGACAUGACCCUUGAUAAGAAGUUGUGGAGGCCGAAGAUUAGGGUAGUAGGGUAGUUAGUUUAGUGUUCUCCCUAUCAUACCAGUAGUAUUAGUACGUACUUUAGUAUUCUGUUGGCAUUAAGUUUUUAUGACUACCUGUCAUUUCUUUCGUUGUGGUCUCCUGAUUAUUUGGUUGUUAUUUAUGUUACUUUUACAUGGCUUCUCACUAUUGUGAUUCUUAUUUUUCUAUUCUUUAAUGUGGUGCUUAUGCUUUUCCGAGUCGAGGGUCUAUUGAAAACAACCUCUCUAUCUCCACAAGGUAGGGGUAAGGCUGCAUACACACUACCUUCCCUAAAUUUCACCAUGUGGAAUUAUACUGGAUUUGUUGUUGUUGUAUUUUUUUCUAACAUUUCUAUCAUGGCGGACUAGUGCAUACCUCAACCAUUUUAUCGGGUACGUGCUCCCCCUCACCAUACAUAUAUUAAGUAACUCUGCCUAUCAAGGUUUUGGCGGAUAAAAAAAAAUAACCUUUAUUUUUUGCCUUUGCUGACAUUUGGACUCUAGUUUUUCAUAUUUUUAUCUUUCGACCGUUAUAUCAUACCCUGGGGCGUCUCUGAUUAACUAACUUGUCAAACAACUCCCAAAAAAAUGGAAAUUACAACUGCAUUGUGUACUUCAAAGGAAAUGAGAAAAAGAAAAUUGAAAUUUCUCCAAUGCAUAAAAAUGUCAUAUGAAGACAACCCGAAUUUUCACUGGUUGAAACAAUUUCCAGUGACCGGUUGACUAUGUGAAUCAUUUCUUUCUCUCUGAUUUUUUUUUGGAUUCUCUCAUAUCUACAACUAAUAUAAAAAGGCAAACUCUUUUUUUUUCUUUUUCUUAAUUACACAACUGAAGAGAAAACCUAA